GACGAAGGGGGCUAGCGUUGUUCGGAAUUACUGGGCGUAAAGCGCGUGUAGGCGGUUGUCCAAGUUGGAUGUGAAAGCCUUGAGCUUAACUCAAGAAAUGCAUUCAGGACUGGAUGGCUAGAGGACCGGAGAGGAUAGUGGAAUUCCCAGUGUAGUGGUGAAAUACGUAGAGAUUGGGAAGAACACCAGUGGCGAAGGCGGCUAUCUGGACGGUUUCUGACGCUAAGACGCGAAAGCGUGGGGAGCAAACAGG
This 253-nucleotide ribosomal RNA is filed under the name uncultured bacterium. Its description in RNAcentral is "partial 16S ribosomal RNA". It matches the Rfam family "Bacterial small subunit ribosomal RNA", at positions 524 to 776 of the family's 1533-position model. The record is from RNAcentral.